This 100-nucleotide small RNA is filed under the name Methylomonas sp. LWB. RNAcentral's name for it is "t44 RNA". It matches the Rfam family "t44 RNA". From Rfam's summary of the family: This family consists of a number of bacterial RNA genes of between 135 and 170 bases in length. Lineage: Bacteria; Pseudomonadati; Pseudomonadota; Gammaproteobacteria; Methylococcales; Methylococcaceae. The record is from Rfam by way of RNAcentral.
UUCACCAAGUAACCAAUACUCACACUUAUCGACACGAUCGGUGGGGUGCUCGCCUUUUUAGAAAAGUCGGGUCACCGGUCGGGAUCAGUGGAGGCGUAAC